RNAcentral lists this ribosomal RNA (486 nucleotides) under uncultured bacterium. Its description in RNAcentral is "partial 16S ribosomal RNA". It matches the Rfam family "Bacterial small subunit ribosomal RNA", at positions 30 to 507 of the family's 1533-position model. The record is from RNAcentral.
AUUGAAUGCUGGCGGCAUGCCUUACACAUGCAAGUCGAACGGCAGCACGGGUGCUUGCACCUGGUGGCGAGUGGCGAACGGGUGAGUAAUACAUCGGAACAUGUCCUGUAGUGGGGGAUAGCCCGGCGAAAGCCGGAUUAAUACCGCAUACGAUCUACGGAUGAAAGCGGGGGACCUUCGGGCCUCGCGCUAUAGGGUUGGCCGAUGGCUGAUUAGCUAGUUGGUGGGGUAAAGGCCUACCAAGGCGACGAUCAGUAGCUGGUCUGAGAGGACGACCAGCCCAACUUGGACUGAGACACGGCCCAGACUCCUACGGGAGGCCGCAGUGGGGAAUUUUGGACAAUGGGCGAAAGCCUGAUCCAGCAAUGCCGCGUGUGUGAAGAAGGCCUUCGGGUUGUAAAGCACUUUUGUCCGGAAAGAAAUCCUUGGCCCUAAUACGGUCGGGGGAUGACGGUACCGGAAGAAUAAGCACCGGCUAACUACGUG